UACAGAGGGGGCGAGCGUUGUUCGGAAUUACUGGGCGUAAAGGGCGCGUAGGCGGCCUUCUAAGUCGAACGUGAAAUCCCCGGGCUCAACCCGGGAACUGCGUCCGAUACUGGGAGGCUUGAAUCCGGGAGAGGGAUGUGGAAUUCCAGGUGUAGCGGUGAAAUGCGUAGAUAUCUGGAGGAACACCGGUGGCGAAGGCGGCGACCUGGUCCAAUAUUGACACUCAUACACGAAAGCGUGGGGAUCAAACAGG
Molecule: ribosomal RNA, 253 nt
Filed under: uncultured bacterium
Lineage: Bacteria
Description: partial 16S ribosomal RNA
Rfam family: Bacterial small subunit ribosomal RNA
Source: RNAcentral